UAUAAUUUAGUAUUAAAAUGUACAUAAAUUUUUGAAAUUUAAGGUAAUAAAAUUAAAUUUAUUAAUUAUAA
RNAcentral lists this transfer RNA (71 nucleotides) under Leptaulax koreanus. RNAcentral describes it as "tRNA-Gln". The record is from RNAcentral. Lineage: Eukaryota; Metazoa; Arthropoda; Insecta; Coleoptera; Passalidae.